CCUACGGGAGGCAGCAGUGGGGAAUAUUGGACAAUGGGCGAAAGCCUGAUCCAGCCAUGCCGCGUGUGUGAAGAAGGCCUUCGGGUUGUAAAGCACUUUCAGUGGGGAAGAAAGCCUUGGGGCUAAUACCCUCGAGGAAGGACAUCACCCACAGAAGAAGCACCGGCUAACUCCGUGCCAGCAGCCGCGGUAAUACGGAGGGUGCGAGCGUUAAUCGGAAUUACUGGGCGUAAAGCGCGCGUAGGCGGUCUGAUAAGCCGGUUGUGAAAGCCCCGGGCUCAACCUGGGAACGGCAUCCGGAACUGUCAGGCUAGAGUGCAGGAGAGGAAGGUAGAAUUCCCGGUGUAGCGGUGAAAUGCGUAGAGAUCGGGAGGAAUACCAGUGGCGAAGGCGGCCUUCUGGACUGACACUGACGCUGAGGUGCGAAAGCGUGGGUAGCAAACAGGAUUAGCUACCCGAGUAGUC
RNAcentral lists this ribosomal RNA (465 nucleotides) under Vreelandella stevensii. RNAcentral's name for it is "partial 16S ribosomal RNA". It matches the Rfam family "Bacterial small subunit ribosomal RNA", at positions 338 to 795 of the family's 1533-position model. Lineage: Bacteria; Pseudomonadati; Pseudomonadota; Gammaproteobacteria; Oceanospirillales; Halomonadaceae. The record is from RNAcentral.